UAGUAAGAUUUUUACAUUUGCCUUUCGCC
RNAcentral lists this non-coding RNA (29 nucleotides) under Mus musculus (house mouse). The record is from RNAcentral. Lineage: Eukaryota; Metazoa; Chordata; Mammalia; Rodentia; Muridae.